RNAcentral lists this ribosomal RNA (253 nucleotides) under uncultured bacterium. RNAcentral's name for it is "partial 16S ribosomal RNA". It matches the Rfam family "Bacterial small subunit ribosomal RNA", at positions 524 to 776 of the family's 1533-position model. The record is from RNAcentral.
UACGAAGGGGGCUAGCGUUGCUCGGAAUUACUGGGCGUAAAGCGUACGUAGGCGGCUUUGUAAGUUAGAGGUGAAAGCCCGGGGCUCAACCCCGGAAUUGCCUUUAAGACUGCAUCGCUUGAACGUCGGAGAGGUGAGUGGAAUUCCGAGUGUAGAGGUGAAAUUCGUAGAUAUUCGGAAGAACACCAGUGGCGAAGGCGGCUCACUGGACGACUGUUGACGCUGAGGUACGAAAGCGUGGGGAGCAAACAGG